This 279-nucleotide ribosomal RNA is filed under the name uncultured bacterium. RNAcentral's name for it is "partial 16S ribosomal RNA". It matches the Rfam family "Bacterial small subunit ribosomal RNA", at positions 506 to 784 of the family's 1533-position model. The record is from RNAcentral.
UGCCAGCCGCCGCGGUAAUACUUAGGUGGCGAGCGUUAAUCGGAUUUAUUGGGCGUAAAGCGCGUGUAGGCGGUUCGUUAAGUCUGAUGUGAAAGCCCGGGGCUCAACCCCGGAAGUGCAUUGGAAACUGGCGAACUUGAGUACGGGAGAGGAAAGUGGAAUUCCGAGUGUAGGGGUGAAAUCCGUAGAUAUUCGGAGGAACACCAGUGGCGAAGGCGGCUUUCUGGACCGAUACUGACGCUGAGAUGCGAAAGCGUGGGGAGCAAACAGGAUUAGAUA